This 497-nucleotide ribosomal RNA is filed under the name uncultured bacterium. Its description in RNAcentral is "partial 16S ribosomal RNA". It matches the Rfam family "Bacterial small subunit ribosomal RNA", at positions 28 to 507 of the family's 1533-position model. The record is from RNAcentral.
GACGAACGCUGGCGGCGUGCCUAAUACAUGCAAGUAGAACGCUGAAGAGAGGAGCUUACUCUUCUUGGAUGAGUUGCGAACGGGUGAGUAACGCGUAGGUAACCUGCCUUGUAGCGGGGGAUAACUAUUGGAAACGAUAGCUAAUACCGCAUAACAAUGGAUGACACAUGUCAUUUAUUUGAAAGGGGCAAUUGCUCCACUACAAGAUGGACCUGCGUUGUAUUAGCUAGUAGGUGAGGUAAUGGCUCACCUAGGCGACGAUACAUAGCCGACCUGAGAGGGUGAUCGGCCACACUGGGACUGAGACACGGCCCAGACUCCUACGGGAGGCAGCAGUAGGGAAUCUUCGGCAAUGGGGGCAACCCUGGCCGAGCAACGCCGCGUGAGUGAAGAAGGUUUUCGGAUCGUAAAGCUCUGUUGUAAGUCAAGAACGGGUGUGAGAGUGGAAAGUUCACACUGUGACGGUAGCUUACCAGAAAGGGACGGCUAACUACGUG